Molecule: long non-coding RNA, 618 nt
Filed under: Zea mays
Lineage: Eukaryota; Viridiplantae; Streptophyta; Magnoliopsida; Poales; Poaceae
Description: long non-coding RNA (ZMAY_LNC005896)
Source: RNAcentral
GGUGGUCGUCAGUUUGGACUGGAGGAUGUUGCAGCUGCUCUUGAUGGAUUUAGGUAGUGUCCAGUUGUCGAUUGCCACUUGGAUCAUCAUUACUUGAAGAGAAGUAUAUUCAUGGCCCAUAGUGCUUAUUGAUGAAAAACUGCUGGUCUUGGCAAAGUAGAGGUUUUUUGUAGUUAUCCUGAUCUUAUAAAUCUUGCCAAGAUGGUAAAUGACUCGGAUGAGCGAAAGAGAACUUGACAAUGUUGCAUGUACAGUUUUUAUCUCGGAUGGGUAAUCUGCUUAUAGCCACAUACUCACAUCACAUGGCAUACAAAGAAAGGCUGUUUGGUUCCCCUUUUCCAUGGAAGGUUAGAAGCAAGAUGCCUGGUAAUAGGUGCAACAUGAAGUUUAUAUACCUGUGUUCUGCCUGCAAAAUUUAUCUGGGUAAUACUUUAGAUCAAAACACGUGAUGUACAUCCAAUCAUGGGUAUAGUUUGUUGAUAUCCACCCUUCUGUUUGUAAAAACCUCCCAAAUCCCAUCUCAUAACCCUCUUUAGACGUGGUUGGCCCAUGAAUGAAUUGCUCUAUAUAAUGAUUACUUUUAUCUGAUUGAUGUAUAAUACAUGAGCAUAAUAUCUC